Molecule: ribosomal RNA, 586 nt
Filed under: uncultured bacterium
Lineage: Bacteria
Description: partial 16S ribosomal RNA
Rfam family: Bacterial small subunit ribosomal RNA
Source: RNAcentral
UGGGGAAUUUUGGACAAUGGGCGAAAGCCUGAUCCAGCAAUGCCGCGUGUGUGAAGAAGGCCUUCGGGUUGUAAAGCACUUUUGUCCGGAAAGAAAUCCUUGGCUCUAAUACAGUCGGGGGAUGACGGUACCGGAAGAAUAAGCACCGGCUAACUACGAGCCAGCAGCCGCGGUAAUACGUAGGGUGCAAGCGUUAAUCGGAAUUACUGGGCGUAAAGCGUGCGCAGGCGGUUUGCUAAGACCGAUGUGAAAUCCCCGGGCUCAACCUGGGAACUGCAUUGGUGACUGGCAGGCUAGAGUAUGGCAGAGGGGGGUAGAAUUCCACGUGUAGCAGUGAAAUGCGUAGAGAUGUGGAGGAAUACCGAUGGCGAAGGCAGCCCCCUGGGCCAAUACUGACGCUCAUGCACGAAAGCGUGGGGAGCAAACAGGAUUAGAUACCCUGGUAGUCCCACGCCCUAAACGAUGUCAACUAGUUGUUGGGGAUUCAUUUCCUUAGUAACGUAGCUAACGCGUGAAGUUGACCGCCUGGGGAGUACGGUCGCAAGAUUAAAACUCAAAUGAAUUGACGGGGUCAUAGCUGUUUCCU